Molecule: ribosomal RNA, 451 nt
Filed under: uncultured bacterium
Lineage: Bacteria
Description: partial 16S ribosomal RNA
Rfam family: Bacterial small subunit ribosomal RNA
Source: RNAcentral
GAUGAAUGCUGGCGGCGUGCCUAACACAUGCAAGUCGAGCGGCAGCGAGGGGUGCUUGCACCCUGUCGGCGAGCGGCGAACGGCUGAGUAACGCGUAGGAAUUUGCCCCAAAGUGAGGAAUAACUGCCCGAAAGGGUAGCUAAUGCCGCAUAUAGUCUUCGGAUUAAAGGAUUUAUCCGCUUUGGUAGAAGCCUGCGUUGGAUUAGGUUGUUGGUAGGGUAAUGGCCUACCAAGCCGACGAAGCAUAGCUGGUCUGAGAGGAUGAUCAGCCAGACUGGAACUGAGACACGGUCCAGACUCCUACGGGAGGCAGCAGUGAGGAAUCUUCCACAAUGGGCGAAAGCCUGAUGGAGCAACGCCGCGUGAAGGAUGAAGGCAUUCGGGUUGUAAACUUCUUUUAUGAGUGAAGAAUAUGACGGUAACUCAUGAAUAAGCACCGGCUAACUACGUG